UGCAGUCGAGCGAAGCACCUUGACGGAUUUCUUCGGAUUGAAGCCUUGGUGACUGAGCGGCGGACGGGUGAGUAACGCGUGGGUAACCUGCCUCAUACAGGGGGAUAACAGUUGGAAACGGCUGCUAAUACCGCAUAAGCGCACAGUACCGCAUGGUACGGUGUGAAAAACUCCGGUGGUAUGAGAUGGACCCGCGUCUGAUUAGGUAGUUGGUGGGGUAACGGCCUACCAAGCCGACGAUCAGUAGCCGACCUGAGAGGGUGACCGGCCACAUUGGGACUGAGACACGGCCCAAACUCCCACGGGAGGCAGCAGUGGGGAAUAUUGCACAAUGGGGGAAACCCUGAUGCAGCGACGCCGCGUGAGCGAUGAAGUAUUUCGGUAUGUAAAGCUCUAUCAGCAGGGAAGAAAAUGACGGUACCUGACUAAGAAGCCCCGGCUAACUACGUGCCAGCAGCCGCGGUAAUACGUAGGGGGCAAGCGUUAUCCGGAUUUACUGGGUGUAAAGGGAGCGUAGACGGCAUGGCAAGCCAGAUGUGAAAGCCCGGGGCUCAACCCCGGGACUGCAUUUGGAACUGUCAGGCUAGAGUGUCGGAGAGGAAAGCGGAAUUCCUAGUGUAGCGGUGAAAUGCGUAGAUAUUAGGAGGAACACCAGUGGCGAAGGCGGCUUUCUGGACGAUGACUGACGUUGAGGCUCGAAAGCGUGGGGAGCAAACAGGAUUAGAUACCCUGGUAGUCCACGCCGUANACGAUGAAUANUAGGUGUCGGGUGGCA
This 775-nucleotide ribosomal RNA is filed under the name uncultured bacterium. Its description in RNAcentral is "bacterial SSU rRNA". It matches the Rfam family "Bacterial small subunit ribosomal RNA", at positions 56 to 832 of the family's 1533-position model. The record is from RNAcentral.